Molecule: long non-coding RNA, 460 nt
Organism: Rhincodon typus (whale shark)
Lineage: Eukaryota; Metazoa; Chordata; Chondrichthyes; Orectolobiformes; Rhincodontidae
Exons: 3
Source: RefSeq, a predicted model, not a curated record
GAGAGUGGCCAAUGUGAUUUCGUUUCCAGGGGAAAUGAGCAGGCAGAGAGGUUGGAGUGUCAGUGAUUAAGGCAGUAGAGACUCCGCCCCUGAUGAGGUUGUAAAAGGGUAUAGGCUGCUACUGCUGCUUGUCUUGUCAGUGAGAGGAACAGUGUGGUGUGGGGAGAGUUGACUGACCUGACACAGGUUGAAAAGCAGAUUGUACCUGAUGUGUUUGGCAGCUACCGGUGAGACUCAACAGCUAAAGUUUACGAAGGUGCACUUCAAAGGUGUUGGUGAUGAAUCAAUCCAGUGAAACAGGGGAACCCUAUGACUAUGAUCUGAUUGUCAUUGGAGGAGGUUCUGGAGGGCUUUCAGCAUCAAAGGAAGCUGCCAAGUAUGGGAAGAAAGUCCUGGUCUUGGAUUAUGUUACACCUACCCCUCGCGGGACAACAUGGGGUAAACGUUUCAUGGCUUUUCU